Long non-coding RNA from Vigna unguiculata (cowpea), 1452 nucleotides. Lineage: Eukaryota; Viridiplantae; Streptophyta; Magnoliopsida; Fabales; Fabaceae. The record is from RefSeq and is a predicted model, not a curated record.
AACUAUUUGAAGGUGGAAUUUUCUCCUCUGUUUCUUCUCCCAAACACUGAGCUCGAGGGCUUCCACCUCCAGAAUUCCCCGGUGUCAGAGCUCGUGUCCCCCUCGUCGUGGCGGUUGCAGAAACCGAACUCUCCCUCGCUAUCAUUUCCGGCUAGGUCUCCGCUGCCGGCGCCGACCAGGUUCAGUUUCUCCCUCUCCCUCUUUGUUUCAAUUUCUCGAUUUCGUUUUCUGAUUCGGGUCCUGAUAAUAUUCACUGGCUCAAGAGAGAACUGAGCAUGUUUUUCGUUCUUGUUUUUUCACUUAUUUCCCUUUGAUGUUGGUUUGAAUCGUUGACGCCUUCGAUUUGCUGAUGGAGUCUGGAGUUUCUGUUUUCAUUGGUAGAGACGAUUUUGGUGGAGUCUGACAAAGUGUUGGGGUUUCUGGUUGAUGAUUGGAGGAAACUUUGAAUCCUGGAGUUUUAAAAGGCUAUUUAGUCUGAUUUAAUUGCCUAAGUUCAUAUAUUCGUGGUUGGAUUAAUGUAGCAUAAUUUUCAUUGUUAUUUUGGUAUUCUGGUUUUGUCUAUCUGAUAGAUGCCUACUGCGUCGUGUAUUUAUGUUUUCUCGGUGCUUAAAGCGUUUCGAAACCAUUUCUUUUGCAGUUAAAAACUAAGGGGAGGAAGAAUUGGUAUCUGAAGUUUAUCAUUUUUGUAUUUGUUGUAUGUCCAUUUUUAUUCUUAUAAAAAUAGUAAGAGUAAAAAAAAAAAAGAAGCAAUGUUUGACUUGAGAGUAUUCCAAAUGGUCAUAAUGUUCUUAACACUGAGUACAUAUCUCUCAUGGAUUAAAUGCCUAUGUUAGCAUACAUGCUUUGUAGACCUAGACACUGUUUUUGUUUCUUUGGAUGUUGAGAAAUUACAGAUGGGAUAAGGAAGCUGCAAUGUCCAGUGAUGGAUUUGCAGGAGCCUCAGCAACCAACCUAAUUGAAAUGCUUUUUGAGAUGGAGAGCAAAGUUUCUGGCCUAUUCUACAUACCAUGGGAACCAGAGGAGUGAUUGGGGACAAGUGGUCCAUGAGAAUUCUUUGGGCUUGUGCUAUUGGAAGUGCUGUCGGCCUGUAUAUGGUUGCUGUAGAAAGGCAAACACAGAACAGGGCGAGGAUGCUGGCUGAAGAACUAAGGGCAACGGAAUCAGGGGGGAGCAAUGGCGAAGACAGCUGAACUAUGUUACGCUAUAUUUUGUGAUAAUUAUGUAGUAUCAUAGAGCAUAUGCCGAGUUUCAGAUUUUCUGAAAGGUGUUUCUCCUUAUGAUUUUAAAGGUUUAAGCAUCCAUUCUCCAUUUCCUAAUAGUAUCGAGAAUUUUACCUUUGGGGAACUAUUCAUGGGGAUUUUCAUUUCAAAUGCGUUAUGGAAAGAAUUGAAAUAAGCUUUGUAACCACAUUUUUAACAUUUUAGCAAAUUAACUAGUCAAGUUACUUUUAAA